RNAcentral lists this transfer RNA (74 nucleotides) under Mustela putorius furo (domestic ferret). It matches the Rfam family "tRNA". Rfam says of the family: Transfer RNA (tRNA) molecules are approximately 80 nucleotides in length. The record is from Rfam by way of RNAcentral. Lineage: Eukaryota; Metazoa; Chordata; Mammalia; Carnivora; Mustelidae.
GCCUGGCUGGCUCAGUAGGUAGAGCAUCAGACUCUUGAUCCCAGGAUCAUGAGUUCAAAGCCCCAUGUUGCGCA